GACGAACGCUGGCGGCGUGCUUAACACAUGCAAGUCGAACGAAGAGCGAUGGAAGCUUGCUUUCUAUCAAUCUUAGUGGCGAACGGGUGAGUAACGCGUAAUCAACCUGCCCUUCAGAGGGGGACAACAGUUGGAAACGACUGCUAAUACCGCAUCCGAUCUAAUCUCGGCAUCGAGGAAAGAUGAAAGGUGGCCUCUAUUUAUAAGCUAUCACUGAAGGAGGGGAUUGCGUCUGAUUAGCUAGUUGGAGGGGUAACGGCCCACCAAGGCGAUGAUCAGUAGCCGGUCUGAGAGGAUGAACGGCCACAUUGGGACUGAGACACGGCCCAGACUUCCUACGGGAGGCAGCAGUGGGGAAUCUUCCGCAAUGGACGAAAGUCUGACGGAGCAACGCCGCGUGAGUGAUGAUGGCUUCGGGUUGUAAAGCUCUGUUAAUCGGGACGAAAGGCCUUCUUGCGAACAGUUAGAGGGAUUGACGUACCGGAAUAGAA
RNAcentral lists this ribosomal RNA (491 nucleotides) under Veillonella dispar. Its description in RNAcentral is "bacterial SSU rRNA". It matches the Rfam family "Bacterial small subunit ribosomal RNA", at positions 28 to 488 of the family's 1533-position model. The record is from RNAcentral. Lineage: Bacteria; Bacillati; Bacillota; Negativicutes; Veillonellales; Veillonellaceae.